UACGAAGGGGGCUAGCGUUGCUCGGAAUCACUGGGCGUAAAAGGGUGCGUAGGCGGGUCUUUAAGUCAGGGGUGAAAUCCUGGAGCUCAACUCCAGAACUGCCUUUUGAUACUGAGGAUCUUGAGUUCGGGAGAGGUGAGUGGAACUGCGAGUGUAGAGGUGAAAUUCGUAGAUAUUCGCAAGAACACCAGUGGCGAAGGCGGCUCACUGGCCCGAUACUGACGCUGAGGCACGAAAAGCGUGGGGAGCAAACAGGG
RNAcentral lists this ribosomal RNA (257 nucleotides) under uncultured bacterium. RNAcentral describes it as "partial 16S ribosomal RNA". It matches the Rfam family "Bacterial small subunit ribosomal RNA", at positions 524 to 777 of the family's 1533-position model. The record is from RNAcentral.